RNAcentral lists this ribosomal RNA (318 nucleotides) under uncultured bacterium. RNAcentral describes it as "bacterial SSU rRNA". It matches the Rfam family "Bacterial small subunit ribosomal RNA", at positions 28 to 334 of the family's 1533-position model. The record is from RNAcentral.
GAUGAACGCUGGCGGCGUGCCUAACACAUGCAAGUCGAACGAAGCAUCUCGAUUUCUUCGGAUUGAAAAGAUGACUGAGUGGGCGGACGGGUGAGUAACGCGUGGGCAACCUGCCUCGUACAGGGGGACAACAGUUAGAAAUGACUGCUAAUACCGCAUAAGCGCACAGUACCGCAUGGUACGGUGUGAAAAACUCCGGUGGUACGAGAUGGGCCCGCGUCUGAUUAGCUAGUUGGUGGGGUAACGGCCUACCAAGGCGACGAUCAGUAGCCGACCUGAGAGGGUGACCGGCCACAUUGGGACUGAGACACGGCCCAA